CGUGGGGUACGGAUGACAUUGUGAUAGGGUGUGAGGCGAAGAGAGUUCUGGGAGUUGAGGUAUAAAGACUUAAAAUCUGGCAAGAGGAAGAUGAGGUCAUGGUAGGAGAUAUGCUCACAGUCUUUCCAGAGAGACCGUCACCCUCUCCCCAAGGGGGCAGCCUGAUGUUCCAGGAGGUGGCAGCCACUCGUCCAGGUCAGAAAGCGACUGCCAAGAACUCACUGGACCUUGGAAGUCAGCCAGCUGCCAAUCUGUCAGCUUGCAUCCGGAGGGCUGGAGAAGAAGCGCUGUGUUAACUGUGCAACUCUGUGCUGCUGUGCACGCUCGAAGAGGGAACUUUGAGAGGGAAGAGGAGAACGCCCUGUCACCACUGAGGCAGAGACUGGAGUGAAGCAACUCCAAAUCCAAUGGAAGGAUCCUCCCCCGGAUCCUUUGGAGGGACCCUGGUGACACCUCGAUUUCAGACCUAUGGCCUCCAAAACAGUGAGAGAAUACAU
RNAcentral lists this long non-coding RNA (497 nucleotides) under Homo sapiens (human). Its description in RNAcentral is "HSALNT0396196". Lineage: Eukaryota; Metazoa; Chordata; Mammalia; Primates; Hominidae. The record is from RNAcentral.